GCCUCGGGGCCAGGGCCGGGGGUGAGCCCGGGGUGAGCUGCUGCUGCCCACGGCUCCCCUGGUUGCAAGCCUCGUGGGG
This is a non-coding RNA of Eptesicus fuscus (big brown bat), 79 nucleotides long. Lineage: Eukaryota; Metazoa; Chordata; Mammalia; Chiroptera; Vespertilionidae. The record is from RefSeq and is marked provisional.